CAAGCAGGCCGGGCGAUCGCAGGGGGCAACAGACGGCCGUAAGGCCGGCGGUGUCUCUUGAGGAAAGUCCGAGCUCCGCAGGGCAGGGUGCUGGGUAACGCCCAGUGGGGGCGACCCCAAGGAAAGUGCCACAGAAAUCAAACCGCCGCCCCUGUUUCCGAGGGUUUCGGCUCUCGGACGGGAGAGCGUCCAGGCCGGUAAAACGGCUUGCGGCGACGCGGUAAGGGUGAAACGGUGAGGUAAGAGCUCACCGGCGGGCGGGUAACUGUCCGGCCAGGUAAACCCCACCCGGAGCAAGACCAAAUAGGGGGAGGAUGACGCGGCCCGCCGACUUCCCGGGUAAGGUCGCUUGAGACGUACGGGCAACCGGCGUCCCAGAUAGAUGAUCGCUGCCCGCAAGGGUACAGAACUCGGCUUAUAGGCCCGCUUGCGUC
RNAcentral lists this RNase P RNA (434 nucleotides) under Bacillota bacterium. Its description in RNAcentral is "RNase P RNA component class A". It matches the Rfam family "Bacterial RNase P class A". From Rfam's summary of the family: Ribonuclease P (RNase P) is a ubiquitous endoribonuclease, found in archaea, bacteria and eukarya as well as chloroplasts and mitochondria. Its best characterised activity is the generation of mature 5'-ends of tRNAs by cleaving the 5'-leader elements of precursor-tRNAs. The record is from RNAcentral. Lineage: Bacteria; Bacillati; Bacillota.